Molecule: transfer RNA, 72 nt
Filed under: Paeonia lactiflora (Chinese peony)
Lineage: Eukaryota; Viridiplantae; Streptophyta; Magnoliopsida; Saxifragales; Paeoniaceae
Also listed under: 2 other names
Description: tRNA-Glu
Rfam family: tRNA
About the family: Transfer RNA (tRNA) molecules are approximately 80 nucleotides in length. Their secondary structure includes four short double-helical elements and three loops (D, anti-codon, and T loops). Further hydrogen bonds mediate the characteristic L-shaped molecular structure. tRNAs have two regions of fundamental functional importance: the anti-codon, which is responsible for specific mRNA codon recognition, and the 3' end, to which the tRNAs corresponding amino acid is attached (by aminoacyl-tRNA synthetases). tRNAs cope with the degeneracy of the genetic code in two manners: having more than one tRNA (with a specific anti-codon) for a particular amino acid; and 'wobble' base-pairing, i.e. permitting non-standard base-pairing at the 3rd anti-codon position.
Source: RNAcentral
GUCUUUUUCGUCCAGUGGUUAGGACAUCGUCUUUUCAUGUCGAAGACACGGGUUCGAUUCCCGUAAAGGAUA